AGGUUGGUGUGCCGAACGGUGAAGGCAGCGGACCGUAACUCCGUGACAUUAGAAACGUUGUAAGUUCGAAUCUUACUCAACCUACCA
Molecule: transfer RNA, 87 nt
Filed under: Caudoviricetes sp.
Lineage: Duplodnaviria; Heunggongvirae; Uroviricota; Caudoviricetes
Description: tRNA-Tyr
Rfam family: tRNA
About the family: Transfer RNA (tRNA) molecules are approximately 80 nucleotides in length. Their secondary structure includes four short double-helical elements and three loops (D, anti-codon, and T loops). Further hydrogen bonds mediate the characteristic L-shaped molecular structure. tRNAs have two regions of fundamental functional importance: the anti-codon, which is responsible for specific mRNA codon recognition, and the 3' end, to which the tRNAs corresponding amino acid is attached (by aminoacyl-tRNA synthetases). tRNAs cope with the degeneracy of the genetic code in two manners: having more than one tRNA (with a specific anti-codon) for a particular amino acid; and 'wobble' base-pairing, i.e. permitting non-standard base-pairing at the 3rd anti-codon position.
Source: RNAcentral